This 292-nucleotide ribosomal RNA is filed under the name uncultured bacterium. RNAcentral describes it as "partial 16S ribosomal RNA". It matches the Rfam family "Bacterial small subunit ribosomal RNA", at positions 505 to 796 of the family's 1533-position model. The record is from RNAcentral.
GUGCCAGCAGCCGCGGUAAUACGAAGGGGGCUAGCGUUGUUCGGAAUUACUGGGCGUAAAGCGCGCGCAGGCGGUUUCUCAAGUCAGUGGUGAAAGCCCGGAGCUCAACUCCGGAACUGCCAUUGAAACUGUGAAACUUGAGGACGAGAGAGGUGAGUGGAAUUCCCAGUGUAGAGGUGAAAUUCGUAGAUAUUGGGAAGAACACCGGUGGCGAAGGCGGCUCACUGGCUCGUUUCUGACGCUCAGGCGCGACAGCGUGGGGAUCAAACAGGAUUAGAUACCCUGGUAGUCC